AGUGAACGCUGGCGGUAGGCCUAACACAUGCAAGUCGAACUGCAGCACAGUAAGAGCUUGCUCUUACGGGUGGCGAGUGGCGGACGGGUGAGGAAUACAUCGGAAUCUACUUUUUCGUGGGGGAUAACGUAGGGAAACUUACGCUAAUACCGCAUACGACCUACGGGUGAAAGCAUGGGAUCUUCGGACCUUUCCCGAUUGAAUUCGCCGAUUUCGGAUUAGCUAGUUGGCGGGGUAAAGGCCCACCAAGGCGACGAUCCGUAGCUGGUCUGAGAGGAUGAUCAGCCACACUGGAACUGAGACACGGUCCAGACUCCUACGGGAGGCAGCAGUGGGGAAUAUUGGACAAUGGGCGCAAGCCUGAUCCAGCCAUACCGCGUGGGUGAAGAAGGCCUUCGGGUUGUAAAGCCCUUUUGUUGGGAAAGAAAAGCAGCAGGUUAAUACCACGCUGUUCUGACGGUACCCAAAGAAUAAGCACCGGCUAACUUCGUG
RNAcentral lists this ribosomal RNA (492 nucleotides) under uncultured bacterium. RNAcentral describes it as "partial 16S ribosomal RNA". It matches the Rfam family "Bacterial small subunit ribosomal RNA", at positions 29 to 507 of the family's 1533-position model. The record is from RNAcentral.